UACAGAGAGUGCAAACGUUGUUCGGAAUUACUGGGCUUGAAGCGCACGUAGGCGGCGUUGUAAGUGUCGGGUGAAAUCCCACGGCUCACCCGUGGAACUGCCCGGCAUACUGCGAUGCUAGAGUGUGGUAGGGGAGAGCGGAACUCCUGGUGGAGCGGUGAAAUGCGUAGAUAUCAGGAGGGACACCGGUGGCGAAGGCGGCUCUCUGGUCCACAACUGACGCUGAGGUGCGAAAGCUAGGGGAGCAAACGGG
This 253-nucleotide ribosomal RNA is filed under the name uncultured bacterium. RNAcentral describes it as "partial 16S ribosomal RNA". It matches the Rfam family "Bacterial small subunit ribosomal RNA", at positions 524 to 776 of the family's 1533-position model. The record is from RNAcentral.